This 731-nucleotide ribosomal RNA is filed under the name uncultured Staphylococcus sp. RNAcentral's name for it is "bacterial SSU rRNA". It matches the Rfam family "Bacterial small subunit ribosomal RNA", at positions 41 to 754 of the family's 1533-position model. The record is from RNAcentral. Lineage: Bacteria; Bacillati; Bacillota; Bacilli; Caryophanales; Staphylococcaceae.
GGCGUGCCUAAUACAUGCAAGUCGAGCGAACAGACGAGGAGCUUGCUCCUCUGACGUUAGCGGCGGACGGGUGAGUAACACGUGGAUAACCUACCUAUAAGACUGGGAUAACUUCGGGAAACCGGAGCUAAUACCGGAUAAUAUAUUGAACCGCAUGGUUCAAUAGUGAAAGACGGUUUUGCUGUCACUUAUAGAUGGAUCCGCGCCGCAUUAGCUAGUUGGUAAGGUAACGGCUUACCAAGGCAACGAUGCGUAGCCGACCUGAGAGGGUGAUCGGCCACACUGGAACUGAGACACGGUCCAGGCUCCUACGGGAGGCAGCAGUAGGGAAUCUUCCGCAAUGGGCGAAAGCCUGACGGAGCAACGCCGCGUGAGUGAUGAAGGUCUUCGGAUCGUAAAACUCUGUUAUUAGGGAAGAACAAAUGUGUAAGUAACUAUGCACGUCUUGACGGUACCUAAUCAGAAAGCCACGGCUAACUACGUGCCAGCAGCCGCGGUAAUACGUAGGUGGCAAGCGUUAUCCGGAAUUAUUGGGCGUAAAGCGCGCGUAGGCGGUUUUUUAAGUCUGAUGUGAAAGCCCACGGCUCAACCGUGGAGGGUCAUUGGAAACUGGAAAACUUGAGUGCAGAAGAGGAAAGUGGAAUUCCAUGUGUAGCGGUGAAAUGCGCAGAGAUAUGGAGGAACACCAGUGGCGAAGGCGACUUUCUGGUCUGUAACUGACGCUGAUGUGC